ACUACGCCGCCGGGACUGCAGAGGCGCACUUGGCCGCCGGCUGCGCCCAGAAGUGGGUGCAGCCGGCGCAAGCCGUCGGCGCCGACCAGCAGCGCUACAGGGGUGUGCAAAACGGGAACUACCAGGAAAGCGAUGUGCGCCCAAGAGCCGCCUCAGUGGUGGCGUGUGGCUUGCACCGGGACACCUCAGUCAGCGGGCGCUGCUGACGGGUCCUCAGUUAGCCCGUAAAGAACACGAGGACCUGCGACUGGACUCCUUGCAACACCACCUGAGGAAGGCUCCCAGCGAGGAAGAAGCCGGGCCCCCUCACAACAGCCUAGGGGGGCCUGCCCUAACGCUAAACGGCAGAGGAAAACGAUUAUGAAAAACGAACGACGCGCGGCUGCCCAGGGUGGGCUGCCUGCACCGUGAGCAGCUGCCACGGCGGGGCCUCGGCGCCGCCGCCGGCGGAGGGCGACGCAGCCGAGGCCCUCUCACGCCGACGGACCCCUCGUGCAACCGCAGGGAGGGACAUCUCGUGAGUGGGCCCCAACAAGACUCCAAAACUUACCUUUACGCUACAAACUGUUUCGCAAUUCGCCGUAGCGGUGAAGGAGUGACUCUGGGCCUCGAGGUCAACGUCUGGCAGAAGCACGCGGUGCGGUGCAGUGCAGCGGACCAGGGCGACAUCUCAGCUGGUGGCAAGCGGACGCGGACCACUCUGUUCCCGCGGCGGUGACACUUCGUCAGUCGCCGAAACUACUCGGCGGCGGCCGGCUGGGGCCAGCCGGCCGCCGGUGAGGCGGGGGAAGCCUUGGCGCAGCCCCAACUUCCCAGCGCACAGUAGAGGCUGGGUGUCGGAAGCCGCUUCCGGCGGACUGUGCAUUGGUGGGUAGCGGAGCUCCUGAUUGGGGGCCACGUCAAAUCACGAGACAGCUGCCCGCCCCGUGGUCGCCUGACGGCUCCCAUCGUCGGCGACAAUUCCGUCCUUUUCACCCUCGCCCCCUCCCCUCUCCUUUCCAAAGACUGUGAUCCUCGUUGUUUCCCCAAACCACCGUCCACGUCCAUUACCUUCCUUAUUUUUCUCUUACCCGUUACCCCUCGAUCCAUAUCCCACUUACUACACACUCGCUGCUGGACGCCAUCCCACACUCAGGUUCUCGUACGAAACUUCUCGCAACUACUACACCAGUGGUGUCCCACACUAAAUCUUCAUCGCCCUGUACGUUCCAGUUUUAUGGAAUAAAAAACUGCAAAAAAUA
Schistocerca serialis cubense is the source of this 1241-nucleotide long non-coding RNA. RefSeq lists it as uncharacterized. The transcript is spliced from 4 exons. The record is from RefSeq and is a predicted model, not a curated record. Lineage: Eukaryota; Metazoa; Arthropoda; Insecta; Orthoptera; Acrididae.